Molecule: long non-coding RNA, 1733 nt
Filed under: Homo sapiens (human)
Lineage: Eukaryota; Metazoa; Chordata; Mammalia; Primates; Hominidae
Description: HSALNT0386187
Source: RNAcentral
GUAAGAAGUGCCUUUUCCCCUUCAGCCAUGAUUAUGCUCCUUGACUUAUGAUGGCGCUACAUCUGGAUAAACCCAUCAUACGUCAAAAAAGAAGUCAAAACUGACAUAAAGCUCUCAACUUACAAUAUGAAGUUACGCUUUCCACUGAAUGCAGAUCACUUUCAUGCCAUCAAAGAGUUGAAAAAUCACAAGUGGAACCACUCAUCUCGUCGGUGUGAUCUCAUGAAAAGGGCUGAAGGCAUGAUUGCAAACACCGUGGCGUCGGGCUUCUGCCCACGAUGGGGAGAAUCUCAUCAGAUCAAAUCUCAGGGAAGUCAUCAAUCACGCCCGCUGACAACCAUUUUGCCUUCGUUUGUUACAGAUGUGAACAUGCUUAAUUAUUUGUAGUGUAAUUAGUUCAUGAAAUGUCAGGAAAUGUCAAACUGCGUUCACAGCACACAUUUUUUUUUUUUCUGCAAAGAGCAUCGAGAGCAAGUGUCAGUGGGAAAUGAAAGGGACUGAUGAGAAGGGCUGUGUCUGCAGGCAAAUGAAGGACUGGUUUGGGGAGACAAAUGAGGGUCAAAAUAUCAAGAUUAGGCAUUUUGGAGAAGUAGACUUUCAAAACAAAACAAAACAGAAAAUCCAGGUAUACGUCAGACAAGUGGGAUGUGACAAGCCAGACACUCUGCCAGGUUCCUACAAGGGGAGUGUGGGUUUGAGAUUCUGUUCAUCUUGAGUUUAAAAGCAGUGGAUUUUGGUGAAAAAGGAUGUCAGGUUAAAAAGGAAUAUCUGCACCCAGGGAGGCAGAUUCUUUCACAUAUUCCUUAUGCUAGAAAUAUUCUCCUUUUUCAACUAUUUAUUUUUAGGUGGAUAAAAUGCCAAGGUGUGGAAUCAGUCUUUGGAUGGAGGACGCUUUCUACCAUAAAGAGAGAAAUGGUUUCCUUCUGCAGCCUCGAGGAAAGAAGCGUUCUAUAAGCUUUGGUGUUUAUUUUCUUCUCAUCUAAUGCUAGAGGCCGGAAGGUGCUGUAAUCUACUGCAAACUCAGAGUGCUGCAAACAUGCCCUUCAGAUAAGCAGUGUUCAGCAGACUUGGCACUGCGACUCAACCUGUUUGCCGUAAUCCAGCAACUCCACGCUACUCCAUAAAAAAAAAAAUCCUUGCAAGAAGCUGAAGGACAGGAAGUGCACUGACAUCCUACAAGUGCCUUUUGAUUGACAAUCUGACAUUGAAUUCCUGGAUGGCCCUCCCCGUUCAGCAAAACACAGCAAUCUUGAGAUGGCAGAGAUGGUCACCAAAGCUGGCCAUGGUGUCAGGACUAAGUUGGUGAGUGAUGACAGAUCCUUACUCCUAGGUUGAUCCCUGGGCAGUUUUAAUGUCUGCACCCAGGGACACUCAGUUGGUUUAAACCUUCAUGAAAUCAGCAUUCUCAAAUGAAUGCGCAGUGUCUUUAAUGUGUCUCGGUUCCUCUACUCUCUUCCCCACUCCACAUCAUUUUCAUCGCUAAGAGUUCCCAGGAACUUACAUGCUUACCUGAGCUGUUAACCUCAAGAGUCUUAUUAGCAACAUGUUAUGAUCGCUACAUUCAACAUAGCUCUAUUUUUAGGUUCCUAUUAUAACCCACAGUGAAUCUUCCUCGGAUGCUCCCUUCUCUCUGGAAACGAGCCGAUGCAUAAAAUAUUCCUACUACAGAUUUUUAGGCCGGGCGCGGUGGCUCAUGCCUGUAAUCCCAGCACUUUGGGAGGCCGAGGCGGGCG